This 1715-nucleotide ribosomal RNA is filed under the name Staphylococcus aureus. Its description in RNAcentral is "partial 23S ribosomal RNA". It matches the Rfam family "Bacterial large subunit ribosomal RNA", at positions 477 to 2196 of the family's 2925-position model. Lineage: Bacteria; Bacillati; Bacillota; Bacilli; Caryophanales; Staphylococcaceae. The record is from RNAcentral.
CUAGUGACCGAUAGUGAACCAGUACCGUGAGGGAAAGGUGAAAAGCACCCCGGAAGGGGAGUGAAAUAGAACCUGAAACCGUGUGCUUACAAGUAGUCAGAGCCCGUUAAUGGGUGAUGGCGUGCCUUUUGUAGAAUGAACCGGCGAGUUACGAUUUGAUGCAAGGUUAAGCAGUAAAUGUGGAGCCGUAGCGAAAGCGAGUCUGAAUAGGGCGUUUAGUAUUUGGUCGUAGACCCGAAACCAGGUGAUCUACCCUUGGUCAGGUUGAAGUUCAGGUAACACUGAAUGGAGGACCGAACCGACUUACGUUGAAAAGUGAGCGGAUGAACUGAGGGUAGCGGAGAAAUUCCAAUCGAACCUGGAGAUAGCUGGUUCUCUCCGAAAUAGCUUUAGGGCUAGCCUCAAGUGAUGAUUAUUGGAGGUAGAGCACUGUUUGGACGAGGGGCCCCUCUCGGGUUACCGAAUUCAGACAAACUCCGAAUGCCAAUUAAUUUAACUUGGGAGUCAGAACAUGGGUGAUAAGGUCCGUGUUCGAAAGGGAAACAGCCCAGACCACCAGCUAAGGUCCCAAAAUAUAUGUUAAGUGGAAAAGGAUGUGGCGUUGCCCAGACAACUAGGAUGUUGGCUUAGAAGCAGCCAUCAUUUAAAGAGUGCGUAAUAGCUCACUAGUCGAGUGACACUGCGCCGAAAAUGUACCGGGGCUAAACAUAUUACCGAAGCUGUGGAUUGUCCUUUGGACAAUGGUAGGAGAGCGUUCUAAGGGCGUUGAAGCAUGAUCGUAAGGACAUGUGGAGCGCUUAGAAGUGAGAAUGCCGGUGUGAGUAGCGAAAGACGGGUGAGAAUCCCGUCCACCGAUUGACUAAGGUUUCCAGAGGAAGGCUCGUCCGCUCUGGGUUAGUCGGGUCCUAAGCUGAGGCCGACAGGCGUAGGCGAUGGAUAACAGGUUGAUAUUCCUGUACCACCUAUAAUCGUUUUAAUCGAUGGGGGGACGCAGUAGGAUAGGCGAAGCGUGCGAUUGGAUUGCACGUCUAAGCAGUAAGGCUGAGUAUUAGGCAAAUCCGGUACUCGUUAAGGCUGAGCUGUGAUGGGGAGAAGACAUUGUGUCUUCGAGUCGUUGAUUUCACACUGCCGAGAAAAGCCUCUAGAUAGAAAAUAGGUGCCCGUACCGCAAACCGACACAGGUAGUCAAGAUGAGAAUUCUAAGGUGAGCGAGCGAACUCUCGUUAAGGAACUCGGCAAAAUGACCCCGUAACUUCGGGAGAAGGGGUGCUCUUUAGGGUUAACGCCCAGAAGAGCCGCAGUGAAUAGGCCCAAGCGACUGUUUAUCAAAAACACAGGUCUCUGCUAAACCGUAAGGUGAUGUAUAGGGGCUGACGCCUGCCCGGUGCUGGAAGGUUAAGAGGAGUGGUUAGCUUCUGCGAAGCUACGAAUCGAAGCCCCAGUAAACGGCGGCCGUAACUAUAACGGUCCUAAGGUAGCGAAAUUCCUUGUCGGGUAAGUUCCGACCCGCACGAAAGGCGUAACGAUUUGGGCACUGUCUCAACGAGAGACUCGGUGAAAUCAUAGUACCUGUGAAGAUGCAGGUUACCCGCGACAGGACGGAAAGACCCCGUGGAGCUUUACUGUAGCCUGAUAUUGAAAUUCGGCACAGCUUGUACAGGAUAGGUAGGAGCCUUUGAAACGUGAGCGCUAGCUUACGUGGAGGCGCUGGUGGG